RNAcentral lists this ribosomal RNA (253 nucleotides) under uncultured bacterium. RNAcentral describes it as "partial 16S ribosomal RNA". It matches the Rfam family "Bacterial small subunit ribosomal RNA", at positions 524 to 776 of the family's 1533-position model. The record is from RNAcentral.
UACGUAGGGUGCGAGCGUUAAUCGGAAUUACUGGGCGUAAAGCGUGCGCAGGCGGUGAGUUAAGUCUGAUGUGAAAGCCCCGGGCUCAACCUGGGAAUGGCAUUGGAAACUGGCUUACUAGAGUGCGGUAGAGGGGUGUGGAAUUCCCGGUGUAGCAGUGAAAUGCGUAGAUAUCGGGAGGAACAUCUGUGGCGAAGGCGACACCCUGGACCAGCACUGACACUGAGGCACGAAAGCGUGGGGAGCAAACAGG